Molecule: ribosomal RNA, 459 nt
Filed under: uncultured bacterium
Lineage: Bacteria
Description: partial 16S ribosomal RNA
Rfam family: Bacterial small subunit ribosomal RNA
Source: RNAcentral
CCUACGUGAGGCAGCAGUGAGGAAUAUUGGUCAAUGGACGAGAGUCUGAACCAGCCAAGUAGCGUGAAGGAUGACUGCCCUAUGGGUUGUAAACUUCUUUUAUAAAGGAAUAAAACGAGGCACGUGUGCCUUUUUGCGUGUACUUUAUGACUACGCAUCGGCUAACUCCGUGCCAGCAGCCGCGGUAAUACGGAGGAUCCGAGCGUUAUCCGGAUUUAUUGGGUUUAAAGGGUGCGUAGGCGGAUCGUUAAGUCAGUGGUCAAAUUGAGGGGCUCAACCCCUUCCCGCCAUUGAAACUGGCGGUCUUGAGUGGAAGAGAAGUAUGCGGAAUGCGUGGUGUAGCGGUGAAAUGCAUAGAUAUCACGCAGAACCCCGAUUGCGAAGGCAGCAGGCCGGCUUCCGACUGACGCUGAAGCACGAAAGCGUGGGGAUCGAACAGGAUUAGAGACCCGAGUAGUC